This 2112-nucleotide long non-coding RNA is filed under the name Solanum tuberosum (potato). RNAcentral's name for it is "long non-coding RNA (STUB_LNC007133)". The record is from RNAcentral. Lineage: Eukaryota; Viridiplantae; Streptophyta; Magnoliopsida; Solanales; Solanaceae.
GUCGUUCGUGGAUGCUGCAGUCCGUUCAUCUAAGUUCCUGUGUCGAACAAUGUUACAGCUGUGAGAUGCAACACUGGAUGCAGGAUCUCCCUUAUACCAUGUGACUUACUGUGGGAGUGCAACAGGUAAUUUGACAACCUCUAGUGUAAGGUGAAGUAUGAUCUCGUCUUUUGGUCUUUAAAGGUCAAUUGAAAAGCAUUGGAACUUGUUUUUUCAGGUUCCUCAGGAAGGUAUAUAACUGACGUGCUCAAAUUGUAACAUUUUUUGCUUCCGCUGGAAAGCGCAUUCAUGUUGAUUGAUGUUCCAAACAAAAAUUAAUGGGGAUUAGAAAAUAUCGUGAUACCAUAUGUCAGGCUACUCUAAGCUGUAUCCAUGUUGUCAUGUGAGGGGCAUACUCUAAGCAAUACCUGUAUGGUCGUUUAUUCUAGAAAGUAAUAGGUCUAGUUUCAUACUAGAGAGGGGCAUGGAAGGGGGUGAGAUCUCAUCAUCACAUGGUACGUAGCAUUUUUGUUUGAGUUGUUGCUUAUGAUGUCCUUUUAGUCUCUUUUUCUGAUGCAUUACUAGAGUUCUACACAAAUUUAAGAUGUUCAGGUCUAAUUCAUCAAAAUAGCUUAUUGUUGGUUGAUCCUUGUAUGAGGAGCAAGUCUAAUACAUCACUUGAUGUAUUACAAAAGAAAAAAACAUUUGCAUCUUUGUGAAUAUCCACGGAAAUUAUCGUGUCUGGUUUUCUCCAAGGGUAGUUCCCGUCUUGUCCGCUGGGAUUGAACUACAUGUGGGAGAUCAAUGUAUCAGUGUGGGUGUGGCUUGGUCAAGCAUCACUGUAGCAAGCCAUAGGGAUCUAAAAGAUCUCAACUGCACAUGAGAUACCAUUCUAAAUUCGCUACAUAUCAGAUCAUAGAGCAAGUUGGGAAGUUUUUCAAUCAAUCUUGUUCUUGUAAAUACUCUUCCGAGUUAAACUUUAUACUAAUUUUCUAAGUAUGGUUGAAGUUGCCAUUUUGAUCAUCGUGCAAGUUUGGAAGUUUUUCCUUGAAUCUUGUUCUUCUAAAUACUCUUCCUAGUUAAGCUUCAUACUAAUUCUCUUAAUACGUUUGAAAUUGCCACUGAUUCUAGGUGAGUUUUGUUCUGUCAUUCUCCGUGUUCUUGCUAUAUCAUUGAUAUAUAUUUAGUCAAUGUCACUUCACACAUGGUACACUUCGUAAAAUGUCGCUUAACAGAUAAGUUGUUCAGCCAAUUGUCACUUCACAGAUCCUUCGCGGAUGGUUUUGUUACUUUGUUCUUGUCAUGUUCUACUACCAGCUAUAAUCUUAGAAAAUGAAUUUUGGUAAAGAGGGAUCCGACCAUGAGUUCAGGCGUUCAGGUUCGUAGGAGUUCUCUUGGAAUUCUCUGUGUAAUAGGUUUCGGUUAGACCUAUCUUCUUUCUCCCCCUCCCCCUAAUGGGGGUAGAGCUGUCGAUUUUGAUGACAUAAUCUUGCAUGUUUUCACAAAGCUGCAACUAUCUUUGGUGGUUUGGAGUAGAUAUUUCUACUUAAUCUUGUAGUCAUUCAUUCCAUCCUGCUUCCCUCUACAAACAUCCCUGCUUGAUUGGAAUGGGGAGGGCUGGCAACUCGAGUUCUUUUCUCCUGCCUGUUGUCUUAUCUGAUCUGGUAGGCUUUAAUUUUCUCCCUGAUGCAGGUUUCUGCUCUUUGGUUGUGGCUGUUGGAAAUUUGGGCGGCGGGGUCAAGGAUGUUUUUCUUGAGGUUUCUGCCAUAGUGCAACCAGUCUUGUGUGUUCAUUUUCCUGAUGACCGGAGACGAUGAUGAUUUUUGGUCAUUUACAGAAUUGGAUAUAUCUGGAUUUGUUGGUGCAGUUGCAUCCGUAAGUUCUCUGAUUUUGCUAUAUAGGUAUGGAAUGAGCAGAUCUGUUUAUAGAAAAGAAUGUCUCGCAGGAUGCUUGGCCUCCUGUGCCGGACGUGAGAUCCGAAGGGUGAGCUUAUGAUGCAGGGAAUUUCUUUCUAGGUUUGCAGAUAUAUUUUGAAGUUUGACUUUGCUGUAAAUUCUCACUUUUGUUGGUUUCUUGAGGCAUUCAAGGACUUCCUGUUUAGGUUAUGCCAAUUUCUUUCUGGUUCUACACGAG